UAGGGAAUCUUCCGCAAUGGGCGAAAGCUUGACGGAGCAACGCCGCGUGAGUGAUGAAGGUCUUCGGAUCGUAAAACUCUGUUAUUAGGGAAGAACAAAUGUGUAAGUAACUAUGCACGUCUUGACGGUACCUAAUCAGAAAGCCACGGCUAACUACGUGCCAGCAGCCGCGGUAAUACGUAGGUGGCAAGCGUUAUCCGGAAUUAUUGGGCGUAAAGCGCGCGUAGGCGGUUUUUUAAGUCUGAUGUGAAAGCCCACGGCUCAACCGUGGAGGGUCAUUGGAAACUGGAAAACUUGAGUGCAGAAGAGGAAAGUGGAAUUCCAUGUGUAGCGGUGAAAUGCGCAGAGAUAUGGAGGAACACCAGUGGCGAAGGCGACUUUCUGGUCUGUAACUGACGCGGAUGAGCGAAAGCGUGGGGAUCAAACAGG
RNAcentral lists this ribosomal RNA (429 nucleotides) under Actinomycetes bacterium. RNAcentral's name for it is "Actinobacteria bacterium partial 16S ribosomal RNA". It matches the Rfam family "Bacterial small subunit ribosomal RNA", at positions 355 to 776 of the family's 1533-position model. The record is from RNAcentral. Lineage: Bacteria; Bacillati; Actinomycetota; Actinomycetes.